This 429-nucleotide ribosomal RNA is filed under the name Chloroflexota bacterium. RNAcentral's name for it is "Chloroflexi bacterium partial 16S ribosomal RNA". It matches the Rfam family "Bacterial small subunit ribosomal RNA", at positions 355 to 776 of the family's 1533-position model. The record is from RNAcentral. Lineage: Bacteria; Bacillati; Chloroflexota.
UGGGGAAUAUUGCACAAUGGGCGCAAGCCUGAUGCAGCCAUGCCGCGUGUAUGAAGAAGGCCUUCGGGUUGUAAAGUACUUUCAGCGGGGAGGAAGGGAGUAAAGUUAAUACCUUUGCUCAUUGACGUUACCCGCAGAAGACGCACCGGCUAACUCCGUGCCAGCAGCCGCGGUAAUACGGAGGGUGCAAGCGUUAGUCGGAAUUACUGGGCGUAAAGCGCACGCAGGCGGUUUGUUAAGUCAGAUGUGAAAUCCCCGGGCUCAACCUGGGAAAGGCAUCUGAUACUGGCAAGCUUGAGACUCGUAGAGGGGGGUAGAAUUCCAGGUGUAGCGGUGAAAUGCGUAGAGAUCUGGAGGAAUACCGGUGGCGAAGGCGGCCCCCUGGACGAAGACUGACGCUCAGGUGCGAAAGCGUGGGGAGCAAACGGG